GACGAACGCUGGCGGCGUGCUUAACACAUGCAAGUCGAACGGGAUUUAGUAGACAGAAGCCUCGGCUAAAGAUUACUAAUGAGAGUGGCGAACGGGUGAGUAACGCGUGAGCAACCUGCCUAUGACAGUGGGAUAGCCUCGGGAAACCGGGAUUAAUACCGCAUAAAAUCGUAGAAACACAUGUUUUAACGUUCAAAGAUUUAUCGGUCAUAGAUGGGCUCGCGUCUGAUUAGCUAGUUGGUGAGAUAACAGCCCACCAAGGCGACGAUCAGUAGCCGGUAUGAGAGGAUGAACGGCCACAUUGGAGCUGAGACACAGUCCAAACUCCUACGGGAGGCAGCAGUGGGGAAUAUUGCACAAUGGGGGAAACCCUGAUGCAGCGACGCCGCGUGAACGAAGAAGGUAUUCGUAUCGUAAAGUUCUGUCCUAUGGGAAGAUAAUGACAGUACCAUAGAAGAAAGCUCCGGCUAAAUACGUG
RNAcentral lists this ribosomal RNA (478 nucleotides) under uncultured bacterium. Its description in RNAcentral is "partial 16S ribosomal RNA". It matches the Rfam family "Bacterial small subunit ribosomal RNA", at positions 28 to 507 of the family's 1533-position model. The record is from RNAcentral.